This is an RNA transcript of Magnolia sinica, 1022 nucleotides long. RefSeq lists it as uncharacterized. The transcript has 4 exons. The record is from RefSeq and is a predicted model, not a curated record. Lineage: Eukaryota; Viridiplantae; Streptophyta; Magnoliopsida; Magnoliales; Magnoliaceae.
AUUUUGGAACUGUUUGAAGGGGAUAAUGUGAGAACUCGCUUUGAAUUCUGGAAGACUGUUGGAAAAGAAACUUGAUACCCAAGGACCAAUUAACUUCAAUUUCUAUAGUUACUAGUUCCACUGGUCUUCUAGAUGAACAAGCAGUCCUGCAAUUGUAUAUUGCACUCUUUUAUCACCACCAUUGCUGAUAAUAGGAAAUUCAUGAAGUCAUCCUUUUAAUGGGGUAGUUUAUUUGUUUUCACAUGAUGUGGCCAAUACUUUGGAUUCAAAUGCUUUUAUAAUGUACAUUUCACAUUUAAUUACGAAAACAUCUUUGAAUGGGGAAGUUCAUUUCGUGUUUCCAGAUGUACCCAAUAGUGGGUAUAUUUUGCAGUGACCUUUUUUUUUUUUUUGCAUAUGCUCUUAUUCCAUAUGAUUGUUUGCUCUGUAACAAGUGUUCCUUUUGGUGGCAAUAUUCUAAUCUUUUCUUGUUAGCAGAGAACACUGAUGAACCAAGAAGUCUGAACUGUGCAGUUAGUCCAAACCUUCAAGCCAAUAUUAAAUGAAAGUGGUUUAUGGCUAAUGAUGGGAAGAUGAAGCUGAAGGCAAUGCUUCUAACCCAUUCCUCUUCAGAAAUACAUUCUAGAAAACUUCAGAACCUUGGUCUGAUUUCUAUUCUUGAUUUUACCUGCAAUGCCAUUACAAAUCAGCCUAGAAAAUUUCACAAGAGAUGCAUUUUCGCACCUAGCAAGUGAACAAGUUUGCCUCGCUUGGUCUAGAACGAGCUCCCCUCGGGUCAGGAGUGCAUCAAGCAUAUCCAAAAACCAGGUAUAUAAAAGGCCAUCACAUUGUGGAGCUCUUCAUCUACUUGACAGACUUUCAUUGAAUUGUCUUUUUAUUUUGAAGUCUUCCAUUGUAGAUUUUAAUUUUUACUGUCAAAUUUGCAAGUCAGAUAAAUAACGUUGCAAAUUACAUCAUGGUUGUUUUUACUAUCUUUUGAUUCUUAAAUGAAUAUGGCUUAAAUAUAUUUUAUUUUAUUUUAU